GCAGUGGUGGUUCAGUGGUAGGAUUCUUGUCUUCCAUGUGGGAGACUCAGGUGCAAUUCCUGUCCAAUGUA
This 71-nucleotide transfer RNA is filed under the name Loxodonta africana (African savanna elephant). It matches the Rfam family "tRNA". Rfam says of the family: Transfer RNA (tRNA) molecules are approximately 80 nucleotides in length. Their secondary structure includes four short double-helical elements and three loops (D, anti-codon, and T loops). The record is from Rfam by way of RNAcentral. Lineage: Eukaryota; Metazoa; Chordata; Mammalia; Proboscidea; Elephantidae.